AGGUGUGAUCAUACGAACACUAAUAGACCGAAUCCUAUCAGAACCCCGCAAUCAAUCAUGCUUGGGGUAGAGUAGUACAAGGAUGGGUGACCUCCUGGGAUGUACUCGUGUUGCACCCC
RNAcentral lists this ribosomal RNA (119 nucleotides) under Gossypium arboreum. The record is from RNAcentral. Lineage: Eukaryota; Viridiplantae; Streptophyta; Magnoliopsida; Malvales; Malvaceae.